GGGUUGUGAGGUUAAGCGACUAAGCGUACACGGUGGAUGCCCUGGCAGUCAGAGGCGAUGAAGGGCGUGCUAAUCUGCGAUAAGCGCCGGUAAGGUGAUAUGAACCGUUAUAACCGGCGAUACCCGAAUGGGGAAACCCAGUGUGAUUCGUCACACUAUCAUUAACUGAAUCCAUAGGUUAAUGAGGCGAACCGGGGGAACUGAAACAUCUAAGUACCCCGAGGAAAAGAAAUCAACCGAGAUUCCCCCAGUAGCGGCGAGCGAACGGGGAGGAGCCCAGAGCCUGAAUCAGCAUGUGUGUUAGUGGAAGCGUCUGGAAAGGCGCGCGAUACAGGGUGACAGCCCCGUACACAAAAGCGCAUGUGCUGUGAGCUCGAUGAGUAGGGCGGGACACGUGGUAUCCUGUCUGAAUAUGGGGGGACCAUCCUCCAAGGCUAAAUACUCCUGACUGACCGAUAGUGAACCAGUACCGUGAGGG
Molecule: ribosomal RNA, 478 nt
Filed under: Salmonella enterica subsp. enterica serovar Senftenberg
Lineage: Bacteria; Pseudomonadati; Pseudomonadota; Gammaproteobacteria; Enterobacterales; Enterobacteriaceae
Also listed under: 2 other names
Description: partial 23S ribosomal RNA
Rfam family: Bacterial large subunit ribosomal RNA
Source: RNAcentral